Molecule: long non-coding RNA, 5011 nt
Organism: Phocoena sinus (vaquita)
Lineage: Eukaryota; Metazoa; Chordata; Mammalia; Artiodactyla; Phocoenidae
Source: Ensembl
CAGCAGUGGCUCCCGCUUCUCAUCCUACACCUGGUCACUACCAUGUCCUGUACCGCGGGUGUGGAGAAACGCAGUUGGGCUGGCAUGGGGAGACAUACUGCCUGGUUGGUGGCUACCGGCUCUACGGGGAUGUUCCUUUGGCCACGCCAGCUAAGGUAGAAGCAGAGAAGCCAGUCCCCAGACGUGCUCCGAAGAGAAAGCGCUCUCUGGAAUGGUCGGACGAAGACCUGGGUUGCCCCAGACCCAAAAUCCGGCGAUUGGAGCUUUCAAGCAGCACAGGAAUACAAGAUGCUCCUUUGGCCACACCAGCCAAGGUGGAAGCAGAGAAGCCAGUCCCCAGACGUGCUCCGAAGAGAAAGCACUCUCCGGAAAUGCCGGAGGAAGACCUGGGUUGCUCCAGACCCAAAAUCCGGCAAUUGUAGCAUGGUGGCAGGAGGCGGACCCCACAGAAUCUUGCAGGGGCCCCUUUGUGAGCUGAAGAAAGAAAAGUCUAGAAAAAACGGAUACCUGGGAGGGGAAGAUGGCGGAAGAGUAAGACGCGGAGAUCACCUUCCUCCCCACAGAUACACCAGAAAUACAUCUACCCGUGGAACAACUCCUACAGAACACCUACUGAACGCUGGCAGAAGACCUCAGACCUCCCAAAAGGCAAGAAACUCCCCACAUACCUGGGUAGGGCCAAAGAAAAAAAGAAAACACAGAGACAAAAGAAGAGGGACGGGACCUGCACCAGUGGGAGGGAGCUGUGAAGGAGGAAAGGAUUCCACACACUAGGAAGCCCCUUCGCGGGAGGAGAGUGCGCGUGGCGGAGGGGGGAAGCUUUGGAGCCGCGGAGGAGAGCACAGCCACAGGGGUGCGGAGGGCAAAGCGGAGAGAUUCCCGCACAGAGGAUAGGUGCCAACUGGCACUCACCAGCCCGAGAGGUUUGUCUGCUCAGCCGCGGGGGUGGGCGGGGCUUUAGUCGGAGCGCAGGGAGAGGACCGGGGUUGGUGGUGUGAACAUAGCCUGAAGGGCUUAGUGCACCACGGCUAGCCGGGAGGGAGUCCGGGAAAAGAUCUGGAGCUGCCGAAGAGGCAAGAGACAUUUUCUUCCCUCUUUGUUUCCUGCUGCGCGAGGAGAGGGGAUUAAGAGCGCUGCUUAAAGGAGCUCCAGAGACGGGCGCGAGCCGUGGCUAAAAGCGCGGACCCCAGAGACGGGCAUGAGACGCUAAGGCUGCUGCUGCCGCCACCAAGAAGGCGAGCACAGGUCACUAUCCACACCCCGCUUCCGGGGAGCCUGUGCAGCCCGCCACUGCCAGGUUCCCGGGAUCCAGGGACAACUUCCCCGGGAGAACGCACGGUGAGCCUCCGGCUGGUGCAAAGUCACGCCGGCCUGUGGCGCCGCAGGCUCGCCCCGCACUCCGUGCCCCUCCCUCCCGCCGGCCUGAGUGAGCCAGAGCCCCCGAAUCAGCGGCUCCUUUAACCCCCGUCUUGUCUGACUGAAAAACAGACGCCCUCCAGCGACCUACACGCAGAGGCGGGGCCAAAUCCAAAGCUGAGCCCCUGGGAGCUGUGCAAACAAAGAACAGAAAGGGAAAUCUCUCCCAGCAGCCUCAGAAGCAGCGGAUUAAAGCUCCACAAUCAACUUGAUGUACCCUGCAUCUGUGGAAUACAUGAAUAGACAACGAAUCAUCCCAAAUUGAGGAGGUGGACUUUGAGAGCAAGAUUUAUCAUUUUUUCCCCUUUACCUCUUUUUCUGAGUGUGUAUGUGUACGCUUCUCUGUGAGAUUUUGCCUGUAUAGCUUUGCUCCCACCAUUUGUCCUAGGGUUCUGUCUGUUGUUUUAAAAAUUUUUUUCUUAAUAAUUAUUUUUAUUUUAAUAACUAUUUUAUAUUACUUUAUCUUUUCUUUCUUUCUUUCUUUCUUUCUUUCUUUCUUUCUUUCUUUCUUUCCUUCCUUCCUUCCUUUCUUUCUUCUUUCCUUCCCUCAUUUAGACAAAGAAUCAUCCCAAAUUGAGGAGGUGGACUUUGAGAGCAAGAUUUAUGAUUUUUUCCCCUAUUCCUCUUUUUGUGAGUUUGUAAGGGUAUGCUUCUGUAUGAGAUUUUGUCUGUAUAGCUUUGCUUCCACCAUUUAUCCAAAGGUUCUAUCCGUUCGUUUUUUUUUCUUAAUAAGUAAUUUUUAAUUUAAUAACUUUAUUCUAUUUUACUUUAUUUUAUUUUACUUUAUCUUCUUUCUUUCUUUCCUUUUUCCUUCCUUCCCUCCUCCCUUCCUUCCUUCCUUCUUCCCACCGUCCCUCCCUCCCUCCGUCCUUUCUUUCUUUCUUUCUUACCUUCUUUCCUUCUUUUCUUCUUUCUUUCCUCCUUCCUUCCUUCCUUAAAUUAAAUUCAAUAUAGAUAUUUAAAUUUAAGGUAAAACUAAAUUAUAAUUUGAAAUUAUAUGUGGAGUUUUAUUUCCUAAAGAAUAUAUUGGAAAUUUCAACUCCUAUUUUAACUUAUAUUUUCAGAGAAGGUAUUCGGUCCAAAUGAAGAAUAUCUUCAAUGAUUGUUCUUCUAUUGCAAGCAAAAAAGGAUUUAUACUUCUUUUCAUGAAAUAUGGUUGUUUGACAACAGAAGGAUAAAUAUUUUAUAUUUUUAGAAACAACAGUCAGGCUACUGAUAUUCUUAAUGAGUUUUAAUAAAUCUGAAUGCUUCUUAUCAUCUACUCUUUAGCUGGUACCUGAGGAGUUGUAUACCUCUGGGAAGAUAUGUGCUCCAGACCCGUAAAUAUGCAGUUCACAGAGCCCACCACCGGAGGACAAUAAUGAAGUAAAAUCUUGAAACCAUGUAGUGAAAAUAGUGGGAGUUUAAAUAAAAGCAACAUUUCACAGUAUGCUUUUCUGACCAAUGUUAUAUCUAAUAACCUAAUGGAUUAUAUGUACAUGGAUUCUGAAAAGUCAGCAGCACACUUCGCUGGUCAGUUUCUAUGAUAAGGGGAACGGAAUUUGAGUGUAGAAAAACAGUAUACUUACAUCUUAAAAUUCCACCCCUACAGAAUCUACUCACUAUUGAAAACUGGUAAGAAUAAUAGCUUUCUGUGUCUCAGUGACCAGUUAACAUUUUCAAGAGUAGGAUUUAUCUUCCUAUGAUGCUCAAAUACACAGGAAAAAUGCAUAGCUAGGACAAUGGAUAAACUCUAUAUGACAGUAGAAAAUAGUUAUUCAAAUGGAAAAAGUAUAAGAUCUACAAGGCACAGUCUUGUAUGCAUUAGUGUGGAUAUAUACAUAAAGAAGCUCUAAGAAACAUAAAAAUCACUUCCAGGAAGUAAUUUUAGGUAGAGGAGAAUUAACAUGGAUGAGGAAGAAAAGAGAGUUGGUUUUAAAAUAGUUUCAUUUACUUGUUUUUUUGUUUGUUUAUUUAUUUGUUUUAUUUAUUUGGUCUUUGGAAUAUAAGAAAACAGUGGCUUUCAGAUCAGUAUCCCAGUGGAACAAAGGGACCGAGGUCUAUCCUGGAGCCCGGCCACUGUUUGACUAUCUUGUGAUAAUACUGGUGAAAUGCAACCAAAUCAUUUGAACUAUAAGCAUCCUCUCUGACAAUAAACUUAAGACACCAACAUUAUAUAUGAAAGAAAGUAAAGAGAGAAUACUGUUUUCUUUAGAGAGAAAAUACAGAUCCUGGACCAAAUCAAUAAUGUCAGCAAACCUCAUGGGUAUAAAAUAUUCUGCUGCCUAUCAUUUAGAACAUGCCUCUAGAAGAGGGAAACUGGGCGAUAAUUUCCCCAGAUUUUAUAUUUAAUUCAAAUAUUUUAGAUAAGAGGCAUCUCUAGUAAAACAUUGUAUUAUUGAUUCUUUCCAAUAUGAUAGCUCACAGGAGUUCCUCUUUCCUUCUCAAAUACAUAUGGGGAAAUGGAGGUGGGUGUGGGUUAGAGGAAGUAUCUAACUAGAGCAUAAUAAUCAACAGUUUGUUUUUUAAAAAUAGAAAUUUCUAUUCAAAUUGUUUCCAGAGACAGAAACACACAGAGACAAUUCCAUGCGACAACAGUGAAAGAGACCAGAGUGAUGCAGCUGCAAAUCAAAAAACUGCCAACACCAGUGAUUGAUGGCCACCACCAGAAUCUGGUUAAGACAAAGAGGGAUCCUCCCCUUGAGGCGUCAGAAAGAACAUGGUCCUCUCAACACUUUGAGUUUGAACUUCUGGCCUCUAGAGCUGUGAUAAGAUAAAUUUCUGUUCUUUUAAGCUAACAAGUUUGUGGUAUCUUGUUAUGGUAGCCCUAGAGAUGACAGUAUUUGAUUCCUGAGCUGGCGACUGUAUUUUGAUUCUGUAAUGACUAUUCCAAGAUAAUCAACAGACACAAAGAUAAAGGCAAAACUGAGACUAAGCCCAGUUCUUUUUAUUCCCAGAAUAAUAAAUGAUGUUUUAAUUAAUUUAGAUCUCUUUGUCUAACCCCUCUGCUUUUCAGAAGAGUAUGUGGGACCAAUCAAGUAUUAAUAUGUUAUACUUUCAUUUUAAUUCAUCUCAAAUUAUUUCUAAUUCCCCUUAUGAGUUCUUACUUGACCCAUGAAUUAUUUAGGAAUAUAUUCUUUAAUUUCCAUUUGUGAUUUUCAACAAAUUUCUUUCUGUUAACGAUUUCUUAUUGCAUUCUGUUGUCAUCUGAGAGCACUCUUCGUAUUGUUUAUAUCCUUUAAAAUGUACUGAAAUUUGUUUUAUGCUCUAGCAUAUAGUAUAUCCAUGUGCAUUUGAAAAGAAUGUAUAUUCUGAUGCUGUUGGGUGGAAUGUUUUAUAGAUGGCUGUUAGGUCUACUUGAUCGAUAAUGCUGUUCAAGGUUUUUAUUUUCUUGUUGAUUUUCUGUCUGUUCUGCUAUUGAAAGAAGGGUAUUAAAGUAUACAACUAUUAUUGUAGAACUGUCUGUUUCUCUUUUCUGUUGUGUCGAUUUUGCUUCAUUGUAUUUUGAAGUCCUGUUGUUACGUGCAUAUAAGUUUAUAAUUAUUAUGCAUUCUAGAUGGAAUUAUCAUUUUCAAAUAUCUUUGUCUCUAGUAAAAAUUUUCGUCUUAAAAUGUAA